GUGACAGGUGCUGCAUGGCUGUCGUCAGCUCGUGUCGUGAGAUGCUGGGUUAAGUCCCGCAACGAGCGCAACCCUCGUCCUUAGUUGCCAUCAUUAAGUUGGGCACUUUAAGGAAACUGCCGGUGAUAAGCCGGAGGAAGGUGGGGAUGACGUCAAGUCCUCAUGGCCCUUACAGGCUGGGCUACACACGUGCUACAAUGGCAUCUACAGUGGGCAGCUAUUCCGCAAGGAUGCGCUAAUCUCCAAAAGAUGUCUCAGUUCGGAUUGUCCUCUGCAACUCGAGGGCAUGAAGGCGGAAUCGCUAGUAAUCGCGGAUCAGCAUGCCGCGGUGAAUACGUUCCCAGGCCUU
RNAcentral lists this ribosomal RNA (349 nucleotides) under uncultured Porphyrobacter sp. RNAcentral's name for it is "bacterial SSU rRNA". It matches the Rfam family "Bacterial small subunit ribosomal RNA", at positions 1031 to 1382 of the family's 1533-position model. The record is from RNAcentral. Lineage: Bacteria; Pseudomonadati; Pseudomonadota; Alphaproteobacteria; Sphingomonadales; Erythrobacteraceae.